GUUUGGAGGUGAAUACAGAGAGAAUGGUUAGUAAGCUUGCAAAUGACAACAAAAUUGGUGCUUUAGUGGACAGUGAAGAAGAUUAUCUCAGAGUAAAACAACGCCCUGAUCAGGACACAUCUAUAAUGGUCUACUCACCACAAAAGGAAUUUAAUCGUAAAGAUAGUAAGAACUGCCAAUGCUGGAGUCUGAGAUAACACAGUGUGGAACUGGAGGAACACAGCAAGCCAGGCAGUAUCAGAGGAGCAGGAAAGCUGACAUUUCGAGUCGGGACCCUUCUUCAGGAAGAUACGAGACCUGCUGAGCUGAAUUGCAGUGUUGGAGCUCCACAUGGUGGUGAAUACAUCACUAAGAUUCUGCAACUGCAUAUAAAUCGAUCGCAUGCAAAAACUUGCAACUUAAAAAUUUUUGGACAAAAGAGGAGAUUUUAUUUGACAAAGAGAUUCUGUACCCCAAUAUUGGAAAGAAUUGUUCUGAAAUAAAUUAAUUUUUCAGCUGCAACAUAAUGUCAACUAUUAAAAAUCCCUUCUCAAGGACCUUUACAGUGAGGAUGGUGCUCUCUCAAUCCGGCAAGGCCUCAACAUGGACUUCCAGUCUCGAGGUGAUUCCCCAAAGUGUGAUCCCACCGUGACUAAGCACUUUAGAGAGACUAACAUUUGAACUUUCAUCUCUAUUUUCAACUUAAAGAAAGUCUAGAAUGUGUAACCUUUAAUACUGCUUUGUACGUUUUCCAUUAUGUUUUAAUUAUUGCAAUGUUUAAUUUUAACUUUGUUCUUUUUUUCUACCUUGUUCUUAACAUUCUGGACCUAGGUACUUGUACCAAAGGUAGCACCUUGUCUGACGAUAUUAUACAUUUUUCACUGUACUCCUGUCCUUUUGAACUU
Long non-coding RNA from Stegostoma tigrinum, 884 nucleotides. RefSeq lists it as uncharacterized. NCBI's taxonomy places the organism in Eukaryota, Metazoa, Chordata, Chondrichthyes, Orectolobiformes, Stegostomatidae. The record is from RefSeq and is a predicted model, not a curated record. The transcript has 3 exons.